GACUCGCUUCAUUACGGGUAUUAUCGUAAUAAUUCGCUUUGAAUGACUACCCAGGAUUUCCUCCGUUUCUUUUUUUUCUCUCUCUAUUUUCUUUAGAUUUUCUCUCUCUUCCUCUACACUAUCUGUGAAGCGAUUUUCUUUGAUAUGCUCUUCGAUUUCUUCCGUUUUGUUCAUCAAUUUGUCGCAUUUUCUUGUUAAGUUUUACCCCUCUUUGUGGCGAAUUUUUCUCCAACGAUAUACAGCUAAGGUAAAUCCGUAAUUUUCUUACAACUUUGAUUAUUGAAUUUCUCGAGAUUUCAAUUGAGUUUACUGAAUUUAAUAUUGUUCGAAUUGUGGAUUUUCUUAAUUGGAUUUCUGGUUGAAAUUUUAUAAUUCUGAAUCGUUUUUUAUUUAUUUUUUAAUUCUGAAUAGUUUAAUGAUAUUGUAGCUUAUUGUUGUUUACUCGAUUUAAUUACUAGUGUUUUGGUUUGGUUAGGGUUUUCGUUUUUUACUUGAUUUCAUUGAUUUUUUUAGUUGAGACGCUUAGCUUUGUAUUAUUGGAUUUUUUUUUUAUCUGGAUUAUGUUUUGAUGCUUGUCUUUGAAUUUUCACGAAAAUUGUAUUAUGUGUGUCUUUUGAUUAUGUUUCAAUUUUCUUUGCUUUUUGCUUUUAAAUUCUUAUUAUUUACCUUUUAUUUAGUUUGCUUUGCUUUUUAUAAUUUUUUAUUUACUUUGUGGUAUGGCAUUGUAUGUAUAAAUUGUUCUGAAAGUUGGUUUAAGCUAUUUGCUAGCAUUUCUAUGUCUUUUUGUUGUAUUUUGGAACUUAAUGAGAUUUUGAUAUCGAUGUACUAAACAUUUCUUAGCGUUUCUAUGGUAGCUAGUAUAGGUGUUAUAUUGCACUUAUGGGUAGAUGAUGGCAUACAAUGUGGCGAUUAUUGAUUUUAUUUUUUAUUCUGAUUGUGAUUUGGUGCAUGAGAAUUUGUUCAUUUAUUCCUUGUUUCAUUGAAUAGACUAUUAAUCUAUAAUAAAAUAAUUUUCUAAAAUUUGAGCUCUUACUAGUGUUGAUAAGGUUCCUUUUCCUCUCACUUCUGGUGUUUAUUAUUCACACAGGUGCGGAGAUGGAUGUCAUCCCGCUUCACACUUCCAUAACAAGUAGACUGAGUUAUACUACAUAUUGUUGCUCUUGUACAAUAUGUAUUACAUACUAUAUUACAAGAGUAGCAGCAAAAUAUAUUGCUAUUAAGUUAUAUAGUCUUAUUUGAGAAGACUAUAUAAAGAGCAGAUAUAGGGAAUUGCAGAUUGAGCUAUAUUACAAGAAUAGCAGUCUGCAGAUACAGGGAAUUGCAUAUGCGUAAAUGAACUAAACAACUUAGCUAUCUGAACAAGCUGCAACUGCUGCUCUGGAGGCCCUGCCAAGCCUGCAGCUGCUGCUCUGGAGGCCUUGCCAAGCCUGCAGCUGCUGCUCUACCAAUGCUGCUUAGGUUGCUGCUACAGCUGCUGCCCCGACAUGGCCUGCUGCUGCAGCUGCUGCCCUGCCAUGGCUUGCUACUACAGCUGCUACUUUUGCGCUGCCAAGGGUGCUGUUGCAACUGCUGCUUUGAUUUUCAUUUUUUGAUUUUAUCUACUUUUUCAACAUGUCCCUUCUCAUUGUGGACAUGGUCCUUUCUGCAUAUAUAUUAGGAUAGUAAUUAAGCUUUUCUUAUUUACUUUUGAGUAUUUUUAUUUACUUUUGUGAUUUUUCAGUAUAUAGACAAAAAAAAAACGAUCGAUUGUGUCAACUAAUUAUUCUUACUCUAUAAUAGCCUACUAGCUCAAUAGUUAGAGCAUUGUGCAAGUGCACAAAAGAUGUGGGUUCGAAUCCCACGUAGGUUCUUCUAACGCCUCGAACCAUUGUAAUGUAAUUAUUUUUUUUAAUACUUUUGAGUUUUUCUAAUUUUCAUUUGAGUAAAUAUUAACUACU
Long non-coding RNA from Chenopodium quinoa (quinoa), 1937 nucleotides. RefSeq lists it as uncharacterized. The record is from RefSeq and is a predicted model, not a curated record. NCBI's taxonomy places the organism in Eukaryota, Viridiplantae, Streptophyta, Magnoliopsida, Caryophyllales, Amaranthaceae. The transcript is spliced from 3 exons.